CGGGAAUAUUGCGCAAUGGAGGAAACUCUGACGCAGUGACGCCGCGUAUAGGAAGAAGGUUUUCGGAUUGUAAACUAUUGUCGUUAGGGAAGAUACAAGACAGUACCUAAGGAGGAAGCUCCGGCUAACUACGUGCCAGCAGCCGCGGUAAUACGUAGGGAGCAAGCGUUAUCCGGAUUUAUUGGGUGUAAAGGGUGCGUAGACGGGAAAGCAAGUUAGUUGUGAAAUCCCUCGGCUUAACUGAGGAACUGCAACUAAAACUACUUUUCUUGAGUGUUGGAGAGGAAAGUGGAAUUCCUAGUGUAGCGGUGAAAUGCGUAGAUAUUAGGAGGAACACCGGUGGCGAAGGCGACUUUCUGGACAAUAACUGACGUUGAGGCACGAAAGUGUGGGGAGCAAAC
This 401-nucleotide ribosomal RNA is filed under the name uncultured bacterium. Its description in RNAcentral is "bacterial SSU rRNA". It matches the Rfam family "Bacterial small subunit ribosomal RNA", at positions 356 to 773 of the family's 1533-position model. The record is from RNAcentral.